GUAAUACUAGGUAUAUAUAUACAGAAGCAACAAUACAGUCAUGGGCAUAUACGUAGGUAUAUGGAAAAAAAAACAGCUUAAAAUAAUAGGAAAAGAGAAGAAAGAAAUGCAAAAAUUGUUCUGCAUUGAAGGGAAGAGAAAAAGGUAAAAAAUUGUCGUGUUUAUCCAUACAUGUUUCUAGACUUCAAAAGAAGAGAAAAAAUAUUUUCUUGUAACUUCACGCUACAACCAGCGGAAAGUUAGAAAAGAAGAGAAAUUGAAAUUGAAAACACCACUUAAUUAUUGUGAGAAAUAUUGCUCAAAUCCACAAAACAUAUACUCACUGUCUACAAUAAAAACCUGACCUCUUUUAGUUUUAUUUUUACUGGUUAGAAUACCUGUAUGUUGCUGCGGGCAAUCUUGCUACACCUUUCUUGCCAAUUAUAAAUUCAUGAAACCUAUAUCACAUAGCAAAAGGGAAAAUGAAGAACUUUCCCAGCAUGCAACUAGGAUCUAGUUUCAUUAAAAGACAAUGAAUGCAGUGGUUAAGCAAUAAUAUCUUUAAUUAAACAUAUUUAUCAUCCAAUGAUUCUAGAACAAAGAAGUGCUCAAUAAAUUAAAAAGAGUUGAAUAUAACAGUGCUAGCAAGAUUCAAGUCAAAUGCUGUUAAAGAAAAUGAGUUUUACCAAAAGCUGCAAAACAAUAUCCAAGGCAUGCAUAGCAUGCUCGUCUAUAGCUACAUGUAUUGUAAAUGAAAAAUGAAUCAUCAAGUAAGCAACUAAAAUAAAAAAGUUUGAACACAAAAAUUAGAAGCUUUGUAUUUAUUUGAAAAGAUCUCAAGGAUAAAAGAUUUCAAUGUAUGUCAUCACAAAACAAAUAUAAUUAAUUAUAUGGUAUACAAAAAGAAUUGGAAAUGAAAUUCAAUCGUCGAUGACACCAAAAGUAUAAGAGCAUGUUGAUCCUCUGAUUUGUUAAUGCUUAAAAACAGUUGUUUGACAAAUCAAAAUAGAGAUUCCAGCAUGCAUUUUAAAAAUUUCUCACUACAUAAUAGAACAAAGAAACCAUAAAACACAAUUUAAAUACAAACAAAGCAGAGAAACAACUAGCUGAAGACAUAAAAAAAUAUAGUUGACUUAAUAAAUAAAUUAUUUUUAAAUAAUACUAAUCCAAAGCAGCAUAGAGCCUAUAAAAACAUACAGAAUUGCAAAUAAAUCAAGUCUAUAGAAUGCUUUCUUGUAAUAUUAGAAAUGAAAAUUCAACUUGGAAACAAAUAUAAUUGUAAUCAUGGUUACCAAGUAAGCCCUCCUUUUUUGUGCCAUAGAUUAAUCUAAAUACAUACUUUGUUACAUAUCAUAUACCAUGUAUUGUAUCAAAAGGAGUUUGCUUAUUGCAAGGUCAUUUUCUCUCUAAGAUAAAUGGAAAUUUCUUAGAAAGGCCUAAAUUACUUAUUAGGACUUGAAAGAUUUUGGACAAGAGAAACUACCAGCACAGUCCAAAACUAGCAGAAGUAGUGGAUAAAUUAUGCCAGAAAAAAGAUAUGGUGAAACAUAAACUUGAGAAGCCACAAUCCAUCAAAGUGAUUGAUUUAACUAAAGUGGUACGGAAAUGUAGGAAAAGUUUGCCAUAAAUAACCAUAUAGAUUACAACAACUUGAUUAAAGAAAAAAAAAGCUACGCAAGUUAGUUGCCAAGCUAAUAGUUAAGUCUAAGGAAUGUGAGUUGACUUUAACCAAUUAAAGCUAGACAAAAUAUUUUGUAAUAAGUCAGAAGUCUACGCAAAACUUGGUAGUGAGAUAGCAUAUGAAAUAUGGUUAUCUCAACACCCAAGACUGGAAAAAAGAGAGCAGGGUGCUACAGUUGAUUUGGUUAAAAUUAUUGUGGACCGAAGGUACAAGAAAAAUGAAAAGGUAAACAAAAAUGAACUAAAUAUGAAAUGUCAAUCAAUAGAGUUGAGAUCUAAAUUAUUACUUGUAAAGCUGCAUUUGACAAAACAGGCUAUAGUCGAAUCUUAUUGAUAAAAAAAUAUCGGUUAAAAAAUAAAAGCAAGUCUAUUAUGCAAAUAAAAAAAUAUCUAGCAACACCUUGUCUCAAUAAAGAAAUUUUAAUCCUUUAAAAUUAACACCAGAAAGGCAACUAAGUUUCUCACUCUUUUCUUUUUAAUUCUAUAUUCAAAGGCGUAAAAAGAAAAAAAUGAAAAGCAAACCAUUAAAAUAACCAACACAAAAAAAAAUUAACAUGUAUACAAAGAAAUAGUCAAAGCCUACGUCUCUUUAUUUAUUUCAUUAACUAUGUUUAUGGAUAGACUUAAUAGCCAAGAUAGUUUCUCCAACAACAAAAAACCUGGCCUCAUUUUCAACUAACAUGUUCAUGCAUAUCAGUAAAGUCAUCAUAUCUCCACCAUUUUGAUAUUUUAUGGUUAGUUACAGAUACUUUUAAUCUUGGAAAGAACAAUACAGUUUGACAAUGCAUAUUUAAUAGAAACCUCAACAUAUUUAAUAGCUCUCUGCAUAUUUAAUAGUUUUAAAGAAUAGAUUGUUAAAGUAUAAGGUCAGAAUCUCAAUACCUUUUGAAUUUAAAGUCUUUUCCUCUUAUCCAAUCCAAGAAUUUGUAUAGAGUUUCCAAUGAAAAGCAAGAUGAAUUUGUUCACUCCCAUGAAAAUACUUGAAGCACUGCACUCUUAUAAUAUAGAGACAGUAGCACAAUGAGUCAAAUAUUUCAACAAUAUAAACACUUCCACCUAAAUACUAUCCACUUAUGGAAGAGAAAAAACUUUUUAAAAAUGGUUGAUUAAGAACCACUGGAUAAUGCAAUAAUUUAAUCUUGGAUGGUUCAUUGUAAAAUAAUUAUGGGUACAAUAAAGGUUGUUAAAAUCACGAUUUUAACACGAAACGGAAAGCCGUUCAUAAACUUGGAUCGUAAAAUCGUAAGGAAUUUUAAAAUAUAUUAAAAAAAAAUUCAUGCUUCAAAUAAAAAUUCAUACAUAGUUCAAGCACCUUAAAAAACAUGUUUCAAAUAAAAAUUCAUACAUAUUUUAAGCCUUCAAAUAAAAAUUCAUAUAUAGUUCAAGCAUCUUAAAAUACAUGAUUCAAAUAAAAAUCAUACAUAAUUUAAAAUAACUUUUCAUUAACUAAUAAUCAACAAACUUAAAACAAGAAAAUAACCAAUAAUCGAAUUUAUGUUUUUUUAAUUAAUUUAAGAAAUAACCAAUAAAAUAACACUAGUUUUGUUUUCAGCACCAUAAGAUUUUCUCGCGGUAGAUAUAAUUAUACUCAAUCAAUUCUGGUGUGAUUUUAACUUAAUUUCAAAGAUAUUAAUUAGUAGGAUAUGGCAACUAAUUAACCGGAGUGAUUUCAAGGGAUUAAUUUUCAUAAUAUGACUAGAGAGGAUAACAUUAGAUGAUUUGGGAAUUGAGAAUUUGGGAGCUGGGUUACCCGUUUGUUUAUAGUUUAGAUUAAAAAAUAAAAUAUGAAGAUUAGUGAAUGAUUUAUAGUUUUAUACACAUUAACUAAUAAAAACAGUAAUAACCUAUCAAAUUAGUAACAAAAACCACACGACACAGUUCAGAUGUGCCUGCCAUGCUGUCCUGUUCUUGCCAUGUAACUCGAUCGAGGCAAAUUAUUAAAUGCAUUGACUGAGUACAAAGUUACUGACAAUUUGUGAGUGUUCUCAAAUCUCGCCUGAAGACUAAGUCACUGAAGUGAACUGAAGACAGUCACGUGAGGGGGGAAGAAAAAUCCAAUAGGCGUCUGACAGCUGGACAUGAGAGGGGGAAUUAAACUUUUAGCUUCUCAUUUUGUUGAAAUCGCAAAAUUGAUCCUGAUAUCACGAUUUUGUGCGAUUUCAUCCGAUUGUUGCGAUUUCACCUGAUUUUACCCAUUUUUGAUUUUUUCAAGCGAUUCAACCCGUUAUGCAUGUUUUGACUCGUAAAAUCGUAUGACUCGUUCAAAACGUGAUUUUAACAACCUUGGGUACAAUAACCAAAAGACAUGUAAAAGACAAGAAAGGAGAAAAAAAACAAUAAAUAAAUUAAUAGUAAUUAGAAUCAAAGAAGAUUAAAUUAAGGUUAUUAUUGACAAUCACAUUAACAAUUGUUUUUCCCAUUGCCUUCAUUAUCAUCCCAAAAACAAUCCAUGAAAACUAAAAGAAAUUAAAAUUAGGAAAGAAAAAAAAAUCACUCCCCUGAAAGAUUCAAAAUCAUAUUUCAAAGUCUAUUCAAAACUGUAUUCAUAGAUGCGCUCAAACUCUAGCUUAUCCGUCGAAUUGAACUUUAAUCUAAAAUAAUUUGUAAAUCAUUUCUACUUUUAAAUGUUUAACUUGAACAUUUAGAUGCAAAUUGGAAAUAAGCAUUUAAUGAAAAAGAAAUCCAAUAAAAUUGUUAGGAUAAGCUUAACAAAAUCACAUACCUAGCCUCAACAAAGCAUCUCUAAUUUCUCAAGCUUCUUCGUAGCAUAUAUAUAUAUAUAUAUAUAUAUAUAUAUAUAUAUGACCCUAUAGACUCUAAACUGCAAUUUAUAAAGGAGAAAUUUGAAAACAAUUACUAAAUAAAUUAUGAAUUGGUUAGAAAAGCAUCACCACUACAAAUACUCAGAUGUAAAUUUCAAGAAAUAGAUCCAAGCUAACUUUCGCUUCACUCCAAAAAAAACAAAAACCUAAAAAACAAUAUAUCUAAUAUUAAUAGAUUCAAAGAUUCUAUUUUCUAUCAAUUCAAAGAGACCUAGAAGAUGAAAAAAAUAAAGCCAUAGUUUUUCUCACCCGACUUGUCCUUCCUUAUUUCUCUCUUUUCUGUCUUCAACUCCUGAAUAAAAAAAAUAAAAAGAAAAAUCAACUAUAAUUAUGGUAAGAAAUUCAAAAAACCAUCUUCAAAAAAUCCCUUAACUUCAAACAAAAAGAUAUGGAUUCAUUAAAAAAAAAAAACACAACUCUUGAUAAGAAACAAAACAACCUCAAAAUUAAUCGAUGAAAAUGAAAAGGCCAAGAUGAAAAGAUAACCAGUUUUGCUUGUGUGUUGGUACUGGUGUUUAUUAUAGCUUUAUAUAAACAACAUAGUGGUUUUGGUAAUUAAACUUACAAAAAAGAUUGUCGGCAUAUGCUUUUAACCCUUUCUCAUCUUGUCUACUACUUUUCCUUUGCCCUCUCAUCAUCCUCGUCUCCUUUCUCUUCAUCCUCUCUCACUUCACUUAUUUUAUUUAUUUUCUAGCUUUUCUAACUGUAUCUUCAUCCCUUUUUAAUUUCUGAUUUGUCCUUUCUUUUUUGGAUUAUUCCUUCGUGUAAUUAAUUAUCACAAUGGAGGGUCUACAACACCACAUGCAUGGCGUUUACAAAUAAUCGCGUGUGUAAUACAUUCCUAGUUAUCUCAUGCUAGUCUACUCUACUCCCGUUUCCGCUGGCUGGAGUAGAGAAAAAUUUAAAUAUAAAAACUUGUAAGGUUAACUUUUUAGUAUAUUACAAAAGACAAUUUGUUCCCAUUCCCCAAAAGUUAAACGCCAUCCAAUGUCAUCAUGCACAGAGGACAAGAGACAAAGAUGAUAGAAUUCCGACAUAGUAUAUUACCGAAGACAAUUUGUUCCCAUUAUCCAAAAGCUAAACGCCAUCCAAUGCCAUCAUGGCUCGGAGGACACCGCGAUGCAUACCUUCCAUAUUCAAGAUAGGCAGUGGAGCUACUGUUAACUCUCUCUCUCAAACUUUUAUUGCGUGUCAGUCAGCACGCCUCUCCUUUUUGUCUGGUUCAAAAAGGGAAAAGGCAGUGUUAAAGUUGAAUAUUCCUUUUAUUUUUGAAGAAAAAAAGCAUUUUAGAAAAAUGAUAUGGAUUGAAAAAACAUUUAGAAAAUAACAUAUUUUAAACACAGCAGCAUGAAUGAUGAUUCGUGUGUUAUAUUCUCUGGUUCACGACUUGUUUCAGCACUUGCUUCCUUGCAUUCUUUGCAUGUGUUGAUUGUUUUCCACACUACUUGAAUAAUCAGUUUCCAUUUCAGUUGAUCGACUUCACCAUCCAUAAUUUAUCCUGCGCCAUGAUCUGCCUUCUCCGCUCGACCUGCUUCCAAGAUCCCUUCAACAUCUUCCCCUGCCUUUUUUUUAUUAUUGUAAUUUGCCCUUUUUUUAUUGGUGUGAUUUAGAGGUGUUCAAAAUAACCAAUUAACCGAGAAAACCGAUAAAAUCGAAGAAAAAUUAACCAAAAAAACCGGGUACAAAAUACAAGGGUGUACUCCCUAGAAACUAGAUUACAAUAAGGGAUCAUAAGCUAGGACCUACUCCUGUCGUGCAUGUGAUGAUCCUGAAACAAAAUACAUAUUAUUGAAAGGUGAGUAUUACAAUAAAUAUGACAACACGAACAUCUAACAAUUUAAACAGGGUAACAUGUGUUCAUAGUUCAUUUGCUUCUCCCUUCUAGUUUUUAUUAGAAUCGCUUUCUUAUCCAGUUAUUAUUAAUUGUUCCAUCUACCACUUUCAACCUUCAUUCCAUACUUUAUGAGAUCGAAUAUGAUUAUUUUUGUUUAUCACAAUACCGAUAUCAAUUUUGCUGGUACCAUCGUCAUCACUCCAUAUGAGUCAAUGCAAGGUCAUUCCCUUAUCCAGGAUCCUAACAUACACUAAAUGUAUACUAGCCAAUACUUAGUGAUCCCCUUGUCCAGGAUCCUAACAUACACUAAAUGUAUGCUAGCCGAUACAUGGUGAUCCCUUUACCCGGGAUCCUAACAUACACUAAAUGUAUGCUAGUCCAAUUGUGGUGAUCCCCUUACCCGAGAUCCUAACAUACACUAAUGUAUGCUAGCCGAUACAUGGUAAUCCCUUUACCCGGAAUCCUAACAUACACUAAAUAUAUGCUAGUUCACGCCUCAAAUCGUACUUCUCAUAUUUCCUUGGUUAGUGAUAAUUUCAUCAUUUGGCAAUUCACACAACUUUUCACCUUGAAUACCAUACGUUCAGUAAUUCACAUUUCGCAUUGGUAAUAUAAAUAAAUCAUGGAAAUUAACUAGGAAGUAUAGGUGUGAUUCACCUACCUGCAAUAGAAGCUCUACUCGUACUCCCCUACUGUUGUUGUUGUUGUUGUUGCACCACGCCUGUCGUCCCUCCUGAAAUUCACAGAUUUAUCCCAUAAGUUCUCCUUACUUAAGGAUAUGUUUUAUUAGAAACAUAUCAACAAUCAAUAAGUCUUUCUUUCAGUCAUCAUUUUUUUUAAAAUAUUUUUUGUUUUUCUUAUUUCACCCAUUAAUAUUGUCAUUCUUUGUGCAACCGUAGUUAUCAUUCCUUUAUAUAUAUAUAUAUAUAUAUUUGAACUAUUUCUGCUUAAAUCUGAACUGUCACUAUCCAACUGUUACUGUCUAGACAUUGAACUGUCACUGUUUCAUUUUUGAACUAUCACUGUCUCAGUUAGUGACCCAUAGCUGGAGUUCUAUAACUCCAAAUUGAGCAAGACCAAUUUUAUUAGUUAGCCAACAUUCAACACUACAAUUUCUAUAAGGAAAUCUGAUCUUAAGUCUCUCAUCCUCCUACCCGAAAUCUCUCUAAAAGUCAAGAGACGAAACUGUCCAGAUUCGUUAGCCUUUCCAUUUACACACAACACAUGAAGUUCUUUAAUUUAGCAACCCAUACUUUUUCCUCAAUUUAAGUCUAAGAACUAAAAUCUAUAAAUUAACAUCCAUGCAUCAAUUCACAAUAAACUUGAAAUGACUCAUAAAAGCAGGUUUAGAAUACCUUACUUGGUACAAAUCAAAGUUUCGAUUCCUCCUUUUUGUUUCUAAUGAUAGCCGGCCCUCCCCUCUUCACUUCUUGUUAAUCCCUUUCUCACCAGUGUUUAUUCUACCUACAACCCUUAAUCUUGGAUGAGUUUUUUUUGAAAUUUUGGUGUUUCUAUCUUGAUUUGUAAAAAUGAUCAUAAAACUCCAUCUUUUCUUUCUUUACGUUAUCUUUAGAUCUGUUUUUGGUGACAGAGGAGUACUUAUGCUCCAUAGUUAUUCUUAUUUGCAUUUAGGCCCCAUUUUCCUUAAGUGUAUUUGUUUUUCCCCCACUCUUUCUUGUUUAGUUUAUUUUCUUUAAUUUAAUCCAACAUUGAUUAUAUAUUAUUAUACUUUUUUUUUUCGGGAUUUACAUUCUCCCCUCCUAAUAAAAUUUUGUCCUCGAAAUUCAAGUUACGUACCUAUGUCGGAGAAUAAGUGCGGAAACUUCUCCUUCAUCUCGAAUUCUCUUUCCCAUGUUGUUCUUCUACUCAAGAGCUUCUCCACAAUACUCUCACUAAGGGAACUCUCUUAUUCCUCAACAGCUUCUCAUCUCGAUCUACGAUCUUGACAGGCUUAGUUUUCAUGGUUAGAUCCCCUUCAAUCUUCAUAGGAACUUGUGGCAAUACCCGUGAGGGGUCUAUUUUGGCCUUUCGCAGCAAUGACACAUGGAACACAUUAUGAAUCUUAUCCAAAUAUACCGGCAAUUCUAAUCGAUAUGCAACUGGCCUGAUUCUUUCCUUAAUCUCAAAAGGGCCAAUAUAUCUCGGGGCUAAUUUCCCUUUUACUCCAAAUCGAAUGAUGCCUUUCCAAGGAGCCACCUUUAGAAAUACUUUAUCCCCCACUUGGAAUUCCAAGGGCCUUCUUCGGCUAUCUGCGUAACUUUUUUGUCUAUCCUGGGCUUCCUUCAUCCUCUUUUUGAUCACCCUCACCUUGUCGGUUGUCAGUUGCACCAUUUCAGGUCCCAAAAACUUCCUUUCUCCUACUUCCUCCCAACAAAUUGGGGUACGACAGUUCCUCCCAUACAAUGCUUCGUAAAGAGCCAUGCCAAUGGUGGUUUGAUGACUAUUAUUAUAAGUAAACUCUACCAAUGGUAGGAGAUCCUCCCAAUUCCCUCCAAACUCCAACACACAGGACCUCAAGAGAUCCUCAAGAGUUUGAAUGGUCCUUUCAGAUUGACCAUCUGUCUGAGGAUGAAAUGUCGUGCUUAGAUUCAACUUUGUCCCCAUUGCCCGUUGUAAGCUAGGCCAUAAUCUCGAUGUGAACCUUGGAUCCCGAUCCGAUAUAAUUGAAACUAGCACUCCAUGAAGUCUGAUUACUUCAUUUACAUAUAAUUUUGCCAGUUUAUCCACCGAAUCAGUCAUCUUCAUAGAAAAAACAAAGCAGAUUUUGUUAGUCGAUCCACGACCACCCAUAUGGCAUCAUUCCCCUUCUUUCCCCUAGGUAAUCCCAUCAUAAAAUCCAUAGAAAUAUCCUCCCAUUUGCAUUCCGGAAUUGAUAAUGACUGUAAUUCCCCUACAGGUUUCUGGUGUUCUAUCUUUACUUGUUGACAAAUCCCACAGUUCGACACAAAUUCUGCUAUUUCCCUCUUCAUACUUAGCCACCAGUAGUAUUCCUUUAAAUCCCUAUACAUCUUUGUGCUCCCCGGAUGAGUAGCAAAUCAAGAUUCAUGAGCUUCUCUUAAUAUUUCAUCUUUCAAAAUCUUAUCCUCAGGCAAAUAAAUUCGUCUACCCAUAGCUAUUAGCCCAUCGGGUAACAUUUGAAAUGAUGUCUCAAUACCCUUGUUUACCCUCUCCUUGAUCUCUUUGACUUUCCCAUCUGCCUGUUGAGCCACCAAGACCUUGUCUCGAAACACAAAUCGGAUCUUUAACUGAGCUAACAGUGAUCCCUCGGGCCCAACACUUAGCCACAAGCCCAUUUUCUUUAACUCCACUAUACUUUCUUGUUCCUUAAGCUCCAUAUCAUUCAUCACUGUUUUUCCCUUCCUACUUAAGGCAUCAGCUACUACAUUAGCCUUACCAGGAUGGUAGUCAAUAACACAAUCGUAAUCUUUUAUUAACUCUACCCAUCUUCUCUGCCGCAUGUUCAACUCCUUCUACGACAUCAAAUACUUCAAACUUUUAUGGUCUAUAAAGAUUUGAACUUGUGUCCCAUACAAAUAAUGUCUCCAUACUCUUAAAGCAAACACCACCGCUGCAAGUUCUAGGUCAUGAACCGGGUAAUUCACCUCAUGCAACUUUAACUGUCUUGAUGCAUAAGCAAUCACACGCCCGUGUUGCAUCAAUACACAUCCCAGACCCCUUUUUGAGGUAUCACUAUAUACCACAAACCCUUCUGUCCCUGAUGGAAGGGCCAGCACAGGAGCAGAAGUGAGCCUCUCCUUUAGUACUCGAAAGCUCGUUUCACACUCUUCCGACCAAACAAACCUGACUUCCUUGCGGGUUAGCUUAGUUAAAGGUGAUGCUAUGGUGGAGAACCCUUCAAUAAACCUCCGGUAAUACCCAGCAAGACCCAAGAAACUCUGGAUUUCUAUCAUGUUGGUAGGCCUUUCCCAUUUUAACACGGCCUCGACCUUUCUUGGAUCCACAAUUAUUCUUUCUGAGGAUAUUACAUGGCCUAAAAAUACUACUUCCUUGAGCCAGAACUCACACUUAUCCAGCUUUGCAUAUAAUUGAUUUUCCCUUAAAGUCUGUAGCACAGCCCUGAGAUGUUGUUCAUGCUCCAAGUGAGAGUUGGAAUAUACCAGAAUAUCAUCAAUAAAUACAACCACAUAUUGGUCCAGGUAAGGCUGAAAUAUCCGAUUCAUCAAGUCCAUAAACAUGGCUGGAGCAUUGGUUAACCCGAAAGGCAUCACCGAAAACUCGUAAUGCCCAUAACGGGUUCGGAAGGCAGUCUUUUGUAUGUCUUGUUCCUUGAUUCUCAACUGGUGGUAUCCAGAUCUAAGAUCUAUCUUAGAGAACACACUAGCACCCUUCAACUGAUUAAACAAGUCAUCUAUUCGUGGGAGAGGGUAUCUAUUCUUCACCGUCACUUUAUUCAAUUGAUGAUAAUCAAUGCACAAACGAAGGGUGCCAUCCUUCUUUUUUACAAACAAUACCGGAGCUCCUCAUGGCGAGUUACUAGGCCGAAUGAAGCCUUUAUCUAACAAUUCCUGAAGUUGGACCUUCAGUUCUGCCAAUUCCAUAGGUGCCAUCCUAUAAGGAGACUGGGCUAUAGGAGAAACUCCUGGAAUAGUUUCUAUGGAAACUUCAAUUUCUCUAACUAGAGGUAAUCCAUGCAACUCUUCUGGAAAUACAUCUUGAAAAUCCCUCACAACAUGAAUACUAGUCAAAUCUAUGCUAACCUUCCCAAACUCUUUUACAUGGGCUAACCAAGCAGAACAACCUUUUCUCAGUAAUUUUCUAGCCAUCAAGAUUGAGAUUACACAACUUGGAAUUACUUUUCUUUCCCCUUUAAACACUACUUUUUUUUAUCACCUAUUCCUUGGAUUGUCACCGUUUUGGUGAAACAAUUCACUUGUGCUUUAUGCUUACUUAGCCAAUCCAUGCCCAUAAUCACAUCAAAAUCAUACAACUCUAACGGCAUAAGAUCUACCCUUAACUCUAAUCCUCCAAUAUAUAGUUUUACCCCUCUAUAAAUAUCAUCAAUAUGUAUAUUCUCUCCUAGAGGUGUACUAACCAUCACCCCUAUACGCAAGUCACUAGAUAACAUAUGCAAGUUAUUCACAAUUCUAUAAGAUACAAAGGAAUGACUAGCUCCAGGAUCAAUUAAAGCAUAAACUUGCAUUGUAUCUAAUUGUAAAGUACCUGCCACCACAUCAGGUACAACUCCCACAUCCUCGUAGGUCAUGUGAUAUACCCGACCCUGAGUCCUCCCCUCCGGAUUUCUAGGCCUCCCACUAGUAGCACUCGUCCCUGACUGGGUAGGUCUGAUAGGACGAUCAACUGUCACUGAUUGCUGUUGGCUCUGAACCUCAGUCCUUUGACCAUAGAUUCCCUCUGUGGUUCUACGAGGACAAUCCUUCUUCUUGUGACUCAUGUCCCCAUAAUAAUAACAGCCCCUGCCUACAUGCGGGCACUCUCUCCAUCGAUGCCCCUCACCUCUACAAAUAUAACAUCUCCCCGGCAUCACAGAGCAAUUUUCGAGGUGUCGCUGCUCACACCUCUGACAAAAUGGAUAUCCUGGUCCUUUUUGCUCUAUAGAACCUCCAGUAGUUCUGACUCCCUGUCUAGACUGUCCUCCCCAAGCUUCUCUUCCACUGACCGGUCUAGAUCCUCCUAAGCUCCCUCCUGGGGUGAAACUCUCACCUCUUUUCUGGAACUGUCCUGAUGAUUGCCCGCUCUUCCCCUUCUUUGAAAGAGGAGGUCUCCCGGUCAAAAACUCAAAAUCUCUCCUUUUAGCUCCCAUUGUCUGACUCUGCUUGCCCAUUGACUUCGGGGUAUCCUUUAUUACCCUCUUUAUACCCUGAGCAGCCCGUACCAAUUCUCGCACAGACUGAAACUGCAUGGCUAUCAAUAUCAUCCUCAAUUCCCGCCUCAAUCCAUCACGAAACCUCUCCACCCUGUGGCGCUCUGUGGGAAGGUAAGUGGAGGCAAAAACUGCUAAAUCCUGAAAUCUCCUCUCAUACUCCAGAACUGUCAAAUCUCCCUGCCUCAAAUCCAAAAACUCUUGUUCUUUCUCCCUCCUAUGCUCCCAAGAAUAGUACCUCUCCUCAAACUCUUCAUGAAAAUCCCUCCAUCUUAAUACCUCCCCUGAUCUCCUCUCUCUAAUGGUCUCCCACCAAGAGUGAUUUGACAGUGUUGCUACAAGGCCACGAACUCCUUAGAUUGGGAGCUCCCAACGGUUGAAGCACUACGGGCCGAUGCAAGUUGUCGGCCGUAGUGUUGGAGAGCCCGUAAACCUGAUUUUUAUCGGGCCCACCUGACAAUCCAACCUCCAUCCACAAAUCCGGAUCGAAUUCCGAAUGGGUUGUUGGAUUGUCCCCAUAUCUCUCCUUCAACCGAUUAUUAUAGGUCUCCUAAAAAUAAAAUAAAAAGUAAUCAUCAUAUUCAAUUCAAUAAACAUAAUAAUAACUUACAAAAUAAAAUGGUUGAACAAACAUACCACGAAAUAUUGAGAACGGCUGUCAACGAACUGUUGCGCCCCCUUUUGGCGGUCUUGACUCCGCAUGAGCGUCUCCACAAAGAGCUCCAUCGGGCUCGGCUCACGUCCAAGAGACGUAGCCUAUAAUGAAAAACAUUUAUUAACAACAAACGUUUCGCAAUUUAUUAACAAAUUAAUUGAACAAAAUAUUUCAUUUAAAUUAAUCUUACCAUCCGUUUUGCAUGUGCAGCAAACAAAACAGAGCCGCCGGUGUACGUUGUCACCGAGCCAUGAAUUGGCCGAUUCCAGUUGCCAGAACCGGACUGUGAGCGUCGUGUGAACCGCUCAGACGCCACGUGCUAAAGAUAGUGUGGCCAUAUAUCUUCUGGGAUGUAUAUCGGUUUGAAAUCCCUCCAAAUCGCAACAUCGUUCCAGCCUUGGAACCCCCUAUACCUUGCUGUUUUUUUUGCCUUUUUUUUGGGCUUCGUACCAAAAAUCACGCCACCUACUUCAUGCAAGAAAAAAUUACAUUUCGAAACAUAAAUUUUUUUCUAAAAAAAAAAUUGUAUUGUUUUCGAUGUUACCUUGUUGCCGCGUGAUUUUCCCAGACCCUCCUCACAAUAGUGUUAUGUUCACUGUUCCAGCAGAAUCGAUCCUAUGUCUAAAAAUUUAAUUUUUUUAAAAAAUAAUAAUUUAUUUACAAUUAUAUUAAUAAUUUAUUAGAAAUAAGCUUAAAAUUAUAUAUUAACACUAACCUCAAAUCUGGAAAACCAUGCAUUGAUUUGAGGCAUCCAUUCAGGAUGCCUUGAUAUCUGACUACAUUGAAACAAUGGAAUCUCCAUCGACGAUUUAAACACCGAUGAUAUUAAUCGUGCGGCCUCAAUGUUUGUGAACCUGAAAAUAAAUGAAAUUAAUGAAAUAGAGAUUACUUCAUAAAUUAUGUUUUAAUUUUUUUUUUAAAAAAACUAAAACCUUAACAAACUUACAUUGAAAGGUCAUCCUUCCACUGUGCCUCGUACUUGCGGGUAAAUUUAUUCCGCUGCGAAGGCACGCCGCAUCUGCACUGUGAACCAGUGCUGGAAGAGGUAGCAUCGGUUGACGGUGCAGGUGGUGUAGGUGCCUCUUCUUAAAAGGCACCUAAUGAAAUAUCGUCAUCGCUGCUAGACGAACUUGCUGCGACCGGACGUGAAUGACUAGCUCUGGUUUUCAUUUUCCGCAUCUACCCAAUUUUAUAUAAACAAUUAUAUAAUAAAAUGCAAAUGUUAAAAAAAAAUCAACAGCACCUCCCCUAUACUGUAUACUACCCAAAUCCACAAACCUGCAAAUAUUCACAAUAGCCACAACCAAUUGACCCAAUCUAUACUAAUUAUUCCAACAUAUUCAAUUACUAAUCCUAAGGUAAAUUCAACAUUAACAAUUAGAAUUCAAAACAUUAUUCAAUAAUUAUGGCAAUACAACAAAACAAUAAAUUCAAAAUAAAUGGAAACAAUUAAACUCAAAGCAUGCAAUAAUAGAGUAACAUUAAUAAUUAUUCCAACAUAUUCAAUUACUAAUUCUAAGGUAAAUUCAACAUUAACAAUAUUAAUUCAACAAAUUAAUCAAUAAUUAUGGCAAUACAAAAAUAAAAUAUAUUCAAUAAAUAAAAAAAGAAUUAUAGACUAACAAUUAAUAUCAAUGGAAAAAAAUUACACAAAUCAUGCAAUAAUAGAGUAAAAUUAAUAAUUAUUCCAACAUAUUCAAUUACUAAUUCUAAGGUAAAUUCAACAUUAACAAUUUAAUUCAACAAAUUAAUCAAUAAUUAUGGCAAUACAACAAUAAAAUAUAUUCAAUAAAUUAAAAAAGAAUUAUAGACUAACAAUUAAAAUCAAUGGAAAAAAUUACACAAAUCAUGCAAUAAUAUAGUAAAAUUACUAAUUAUUCCAACAUAUUUAAUUACUAAUUCUAAGGUAAAUUCAACAUUAACAAUAUUAAUUCAAAAAAUUAAUCAAUAUGGCAAUACAACAAUAAAAUAUAUUCAAUAAACUAAAAAAUAAUUAUAGACUAACAAUUAAAAUCAAUGGAAAUAAUUACACAAAUCAUGCAAUAAUAUAGUAAAAUUAAUAAUUAUUCCAACAUAUUUAAUUACUAAUUCUAAGGUAAAUUCAACAUUAACAAUAUUAAUUCAACAAAUUAAUCAAUAAUUAUGGAAAUACAGCAAUAAAAUAUAUUAAAUAAAUUUUAAAAAAAUUAUAGACUAACAAUUAAAAUCAAUGGAAAUAAUUAAACACAAAUCAUGCAAUAAUAGAGUAAAAUUACUAAUUAUUCUAACAUAUUCAAUUACUAAUUCUAAUUUAAAUUCAACAUUAACAAAAAAUAUUCAACAAAUUAACUAAUAACAAUUAUGCCAACACAACAAUAAAAAAUAUUCAAAAAAAAAAACUAUAGACUUUAGGAAAGAAAUAUACAUACCUUAAUAAUGUGUUGAAUUCAAAACUUUAUCUACAUUACAAAAAAAUACACCAAAGCAACAAAAUAACAAAAAUAAAAACAACUAAAAAUAAAAUAAAAUAAAAUAGAAGAAAACACAUACCUUUUAAUGUGAUGAAGAUUCACAACAACAAAUCUUGCUAGAGAUUCUAGGUGGAAGCCUUGAAGGAUUGAGAGGAAAAAAAUCAAAAUUUUGAGGUGAAAAACGGAGGAGAUGAAAAAAUGAACCCAAGCGGCGGGUGCUGGAAUUUAUAGGCCAGAUUUACCGACGGAUUCACCGACGGCAAUUAAAAAUUAUUUUUAUUUUUUAAAAUCCGUCGGUAAUAGGUCAAAAAUCCGUCAGUAAUUUUUGAAUUUCGCACCGAAAGUUUUAAUUACCCUUCAUAUUUUUUGCGGUCUGUCGGUGAUUCCAUCGGUAAUCUGACACGAUCAGAGGUGCAUUCAAUUCACACCCUUUGGAAUUCACACAUUCCGUCGGUAUUUGUGUCGGUAAACUUUGACCACUGAUAAAUUACCGACGAAAGUAUUUCGUCGGUAUCGGCGUCGAUAAAUCCGUCGGUAUAUGCGUCGGUGAUUUUGACAUUUUGUUGUAAUUAUUUUCGAGCUCUCUGUGAGAUGCCGACGGACGGUGGUCCGUCGGUAUAUGCGUUGGUGAUUGUGGUAUUUUGUUGUAAUUAUUUUCGAACUCUCUAUGAGAUGCCGACGGACGGUGGUCCGUCGGUAUUGACGUUGGUGAUUGUGGCAUUUUGUUGUAAUUAUUUUCGAACUCUCUAUGAGAUGCCGACGGACGGUGGUCCGUCGGUAUUGACGUUGGUGAUUGUGGCAUUUUGUUGUAAUUAUUUUCGAACUCUCUGUGAGAUGUCGAUGGACGGUGGUCCGUCGGUAUUGACGUCGGUGAUUGUGGCAUUUUGUUGUAAUUAUUUUCAAACUCUCUGUGAGAUGCUGACGGACAGUGGUCCGUCGGUAUUGACGUUGGUGAAUGUUCAAUGUACAAGAAAUGUUGUGUUUGUAUUUUCUAUUUACCUUCCUGCAAAAACUUCAAUGAUAAACUGUCCAUUGCACAAAACAAUAGCAACAAUGCUUAAACAAUAAAUAUAUAUUUCGUGUUACAAAAUAUAUCAUCCAUAAUGUAAAUCACAUGAAGAAAAGGGUUUUACGCAGGGCUCCGUUUUGAUAAUUAGUUAGAAUUUUCUUCUUCGUCGUCAUCAAUUGAAUAGUCAUCACCUUCAUCGCAAUCUUCAAUAUGGAUAUCAUCUUCUUCAUCGACAUUUGCUUGUCCGCUAGAGCUCAAAACAACGUUCAACUCCUCUACGUCAACAUCAAUAAGACUAUCAUUGGAAACACAAAAAUUUGAAUUUUCUUCCAAUUCAAUUGAAGGAGCAACUCGAUAUGGUUCAACCAACUCACUAACUUGAAAGACUUCAUCCUGCACACUUGUGUCUUUGUUCUCAUCCUGAACAACCUCGACACGACCCCGUGGUUUCAUUUUUACAACGGACAACCAAUUAACUCUUGAUUGAUCCUUUCUAAAUGAAGGGGUGUAUGUGUAAUAAACUUGUUGACAUUACUUUGCGAAAACAAAGACAUCGUUUAUGUUGCGGUGUCUAGCUUUUGAGUUGAUUUCGACCAGACCAUAGUGCAGAUCACCUCUGAUUCCUCUAUCAUUCGUGUCAUACCAAUAGCAUUUGAAUAAAAACAUUAUUCUGCUCGCUAUGAUAUUGCAGUUCGACGACCUCUUCUAAUCUACCAUAGUAGUCAACUUCUAACUCACUACUAGUGGAUCCCUUAACACAAACACCGCAGUUGUAUGUCUAUCUUCCUUGCCCGUAUUCUUCAGUAUGGAAAACAUAUCUAUUGACAAAAUACCCGUUGUAGCACUCCUUCCCAUUUGAUAAACCUUGUAUAUAUGUAAUGUACAUCAAUAAACAGUAAAUGAACUUGAAUCUCGUUAUGACAUGCAUGCAUACGUACAAUAAUUUUGUAGUUAGAAUGAGUUUGUGAUCGUGCUUACAUGUGUUCUGAAACACGUGGCGAAUUGUUCAUCUUGUAAUUGAAAGAUCUGGGAUUCGGUCAGCUGUGAGUUAUUGGAGAGCAAAUAUUGUCGAUGCUGCCUGCAAGUGAUAAUGAGUGUAUGAUAUUACAAUAUAUAAUUAACAGUAUAUUACUGACAAAGUUUAAUUAGUAUUACACAUAUAAACUUACUGAAUAAAAGGGCUCAGCUCAUUACCGUUAAAUAGAACGUAAUUGUGUGCUUGUUUGAAUUCUAUUUUCGACAAAUAUCUUCCUCUUACGGCAUUUUUAGGUGUGGGUCGUCUAGUAUUGGAGAAUAUUGACAAGUUUCCACUGGAAGGCACUUCACCGCCAUCAUCAUGCCGUGGAACGCGAUUGAUUGUUGUUCUCAGAUGAGGUUCAAAAUAGUAUGAGAUAAAUGUUGAGAUCUCCUCAACAAUAUAGGCCUCACAUAUCGAAGCCUCAACAUACGCCUUAUUCUUAACCUUUUUAUUGAGAUUAAACAAGUACCUGCAUUGAAUUACAAUUCAAGUAUUUUCAAUUAAGAAAAAUAUAGAAAAUACUUUUAUAUAUGAAUUACAUUGCAACUGUAAUAUCUAACCGUUCGAAUGGGUACAUCCAUCUAUACUGGACCGGUCCUCCAGCUUUUUCCUCGAAUGGUAGAUGUAUAGGGAGAUGCUCCAUUGAGUCAAAAAAUGAUGGAGGGAAUAUCAUCUCAAGUUUGCAUAAUGUCUCGAUGAUAUUCAUUUGAAGCCUCGCAAUGUGCUCAACAUUCAACUUGCUGGAGCAUAUAUCUCUAAAGAAAUGACUGAUUUCUGUUAGUGCAUUCCAUAUUCCCUUUGGCAACAAAUGACAAAAAGAUAAUGGGAUGAGUGUUUGCAUAAACACGUGGCAGUCAUGACUCUUCAUUCCAUACAAUCUGUAGUCCUCUAUAUUAACCAGCCUUGAUAUGUUCAAUGCAUGUCCAUCCGGAAAACACAAACUCUUAAGCCAUUUGUAGACUAGCAGUUGUGCGUUUUUCUUUAACACGAAGCUUGCCCUUGGUUUUGCGACCCAUGACUCAUCAUAAACCAACUCCAUAUUUUUACAGUUACAGUAUAAAGCUAUAUCCAAUCUAGCCUUGAUGUUGUCCUUUGUCUUCCCCUUCACAUCCAUGAAGGUGUUGAAAAUGUUCUCAAACACGUUCUUUUCGAUGUGCAUGACGUCUAGGUUAUGGCGGAGCAUAUUGGUCUUCAAAUAAGGAAGCUCCCAAAAGAUACUUUGCUUUACCCAAUUAUGGGUCAAACCAAAACCAGGAAACUUUUGCUUACCUGAUUGAAGGCCAAACACAAUGUUACCAUACUCUGAUACAACAUCAUGCAAUUCUUCACCAGAAAGACGCGGGGAUGCAACAUCUUUUUCAACUCUGCCAACAAAGAAAUCUUUUAUGUUCUUUCUGUACCUGUGAUUAAGUGGCAAGAAGCGACGAUGACAGUAAAAAAAAGAAGCUUUACCUCUGUUUGCUAGCGUGAAUGCCUUGUUGUUUUCCAUGCAGUAUGGAUUUUGUUUCCUCGAUAUAUCAUAAGUCAGAGCUCCGGAGAACCACAACUGCGCCACCUCAUCAAUCAACGGCCGAAGACAAACAUCUAUAUUCCACCCCGAGCUGCUUGGGCCGGGUAUGACAGUAGAUAAAAACAUGAACUCCGACCGUGCUUGGUGCCAUGUCAUGUGCUCAGCAGUCCUUGGUGACAUGAAUAACCUCUACAGUCUAUGUGUGAUUGAGAAGUAUCUAAGUUUUUUAUAGGCCACUAGAGUCUUUCCCAUGCCAGUUCUGGGUUUGUAACGGGAAUGCCUGCAUGUCAUGCACUCGAUCAUCUUACCAUUUUCAAGGUAAUAUAACAUACAGAAGUUAAGACACAUGUCAAUUUUUUGGUAUCCUAAACCGAGGGGUUUCAUCAUGGACUUCGCAGCAUAGAAGUUCUCUUUCAGCCUGUUCCCUUCAGGUAAAUGUUUCUCGCCCAUUCAAUAAUUUUGUCAUACCCGACCUCACUCAGCCCGUGAUCUGAAUUGAUGGUGAACACCUGUGCCACGGCCGAUAAUUUACUGUGGUUUGUGCAGCCAUCCCAUAAUGGUUCGUCAAAAUCUUUCAACAAAUAAAAAAACCUAGCUGUAUCUGCAUUAGGUUCUUCUUCUAUGAUUGGACAUUGACUGACAUUACCUUGAUUCAUUCUCAUUGCAUCCAUAACCAUAUUCCUGUAAGGAUUAGUGUUGUCAUUUGUCGUUUCAUGCAUGUUGCUAGCACUAGAAGUUGACCCAACCACCGUUUCUCCCAUUCUCGUCUUACUAACAAAUACUUGUCCAUGUACAUACCAACACUGGUAAUUCUCCAUAAACCCUUUGUGUAGAAGAUGCAUCAUUACAACAUCUGGAUGCAGAUACUUUUUAUUUUGACACUUUCUGCAUGGACACCUAAUACCGCCUCCACUAAAAUUUCUGGGAAUAAAUGUUGCGAAAUUAAUAAAACCCUGAACCCCGUUACAAUAAUCCAUCCUCCGCAAUCCUUGGAGUGAAUCUCGAUACAUCCAUGAACGAUCAUCCAUGACUUAUAUAUAUCGAACCUCUACAAAAUUAUGAUGACAUCAUGUAUUAAUUAACUAAGUUAGGUAAAUAAACUUGCUAUUACUUUACCUCGAUAUUAUCCAACAAACCAAUCACAACUUCUCAUAAAUAUUAAAUAUUCAUUAUGAUCAUUUAUUUAACGUCUAUACGUACAAAUUAAUAUAUAUAAAUUUACGAAAAUUACCACACCGCAAUACCAUUGAUAAAACUUAAAAUGGACCCAUUAAGCAAGCUAUUCAUUAUUUCAAAACAACACAUGUAAUUCGGUAAUUCCAUAAAGUUUUAACGAUUUACAAACAAAUACAAUCUUACAAAAUCUAAAACAAACCAUAACAUGUACAUCUACUAACAAAAUACUUAUACUAAAAAAAACAACAAAUUAAAUUGACAUUUAAAUGUUAAAAUUUAAAAAGAUAGAAUUACUUACAAAAAUUGAUAAAAUCCAUCGAAAAAUCAAAACACGGAUACUGUGACAACAAAACUUCAAGAAAUAUAACUUGUUGUGCUGAGAUGAGGGAGAUUUUUGUUUGGAUGUUGGCUGUUUGCAAAUGGGGAGAGUUGGGAUUAGGAAGAAGAAGGGGAAAUAGGGGAGGAGAGUGUCAGAAGCAGGGAACUAUACUAACUUUUACCGACGGUUUCACCAACGAAUAUUGUCGUCGGUGUAUCCAUCAGUAAAGUAGACAUGUCACCGUAUGGAUCAGCCAUUUCAAAUCCGUUGGUGAUUCCGUCGGUAUGUUUAAUGGUGAACCGGUCACGUCACUAUACGGGACUGUCAUUUUGAAUCCAUCGGAAAAAAACCUCCCCGCCAAAACCUCCACGUCAGCGACCCACCUUUUUUUUUAUCCUGAACUUUCCAUCCGCAAUUCGGUCGGUAACUACCGACGGACAUUACCCAUCGGCAAUUACCGAACGAAGUGCAGACGAAAAAAUUCCGUCGGUAAUUUCGACCUCAAAUUGCCGACAAAAAUAUUCCGUCGGUAAAUCCGUUGGUAUUAAGUGAAUUUCUGGUAGUGAUUCUCUCUUUACUUCUGCACAAACCGUCUUCAUUAGAGAAACGACAGCAAAGUAAAUUUUGUUGCUUUGGAUUUCAAGUAAUCUAAUUCUGUUGCAUACUUCUUUUAUUCCUAGAUUUCAAAUAAUAUGUUGCAUACUUAAUUUAUGCCGUAUGUAUUGCUUUAGUUGGUUACCCAAAAACUCAUAAUCUGUUGAUUGUUUCUUACUUGCUUUAGUUGCUUAUGUUGCUUUAGUCUGGAUAACAUGAUAAAUAUCAUGGGUUGUUAAGCUAUAGUUACUUCUAUGACUAUAGAGUAAUGAGCAACAUAAGUGAUAUAAAUUAAUUGCUUUAGAAGUUCUGUCAUAACAAUAUAGAUUAAUUGUUGAGAGACUGUAAUAGCUAGUCCCUACUGCUACCCCUGUGAUUUCAAGCUUAAAUUCAUAUCUUUGUUCUGUUUUGUUGAUGUUUUGUCGAUCUAUUUAUUAGUUUUUUUGGUUUUAUGAAUUGUGUAAAGUGGGUUGUUUUUGUUUCUUUGUUUUUCAGGCGUGGAUCUUAGAUCAUCUAAGAUUUGUGAGCUGGGGUUGUUGAAGAGCAGUGUUUAAGUUUAAGGUGAUUUUAUCUUGUUCUCUAGUACCAAGUAUUAUAUGACUUCUAUUGUGUAGCCUAAUAGUAUUAGUGUAUUACAAAUUGCAUUUCCUUUUCCAGAUGUAAAUAUACGUUUCAAUUUCAUGCUAAAUUAUUAGUUUUUUGUUUACUGUUGAUAAAAAAAAUAUGUAUGUAUUGCUUCUAAUUAAUUUGAUUGUGAAUUUGAUAAUAUAUAUAUAUAUAUAUAUUAUUGCAAAAUGUAGGCAUAUUCCAUAUGUAUUGCAAAAUGUAUCAUACGAUUUUUUUUCUUGCUUUUGCAUUAACUGACAGAAUAGUAGGCAAGGCAAUCUUACAUUAUUUCCAUAUGUAUUGCAAAAUGUAUCAUAGGUUUUUUUCUUGCUUUUGCAUUAACUAGCAGAAUAGUAGGCAAGGCAAUCUUAGGCUAUUUUCGCAUGUAUUGCAUGUAUUGCAAAAUGUAUCAUAGGCUAUUUGCAAAAUGUUUCUACAUAGCUAAUAAUAAUUGCUUGAUUGAUGUUGUUGUUGUUUUCUUAAUUUUAGAUGGAUAAUGGGAAAGAUCCUACAUCAAAUGAGUGAAAUCCUUGAAGUUCGGAACCAAAUUCUUUGCCUAUUCCAGUUCCAGCUACUACCUCCAGUACAAAUAGCAACAUUGAAGAAGGUAAUCUACCUUCUAGAUGCAAUAAAAGAAAAACAACCCAAAUUUGGGAUCACUUUAGAAAACUAGAUGGUAAUUCUAAAACUCCUAGGGCUGCAUGUAAGUAUUGUGCAAAAGACUAUGCAUGUCAUACUAUACUUAAUGGGACUAAUAACAUGUAGAGUCAUCUAGGUGUAUGCAAAAAAUUUCAUUUUGUCAUUUGUCACACGUCACCCGCGCGACGUCGGCUAGCGAUUUUUCAUUCAUUGAUUUGAUUUGUUGGUUCGUUGGGAGUCGCCACCUAGUAUUUUAUUGAGGGUUACUAGGAAACCCGGAUGUAUUGGUCUUGUCAGAGAUUCAUGGGUAAGGGACUGGUUAUGGUUAGGGAAGGUAUUAGCACCCCUAACGCACCCUACUUGAGGUGAGUUGCUUCGUGGCUUUGAUGUAUUAAAUAAGUUUUAAAAAUUGUCUUUUCAUCGGAUAUUGGAAAUAUGACCUACGUGUAAGUUCAUAAUUCUUGACCAUGAGCAAAUCAAAAUAUUAAAUUCUUCUUUAUUCUUUGUGAUUUUAUCAUAAAAAAACAUUCAUAAAAAAAAUAACAUCCAUCAAACAAAUACAAACACACACAUUCACUUUUACUAUAUUUUUUUCUUUUUUCUUUUUUCAUAUCCACACUACAAAAAUUAAAAAAAAAAACUAAAUAAAAAAAUACAUUACACAAUUUUAAAAUUACAAAAAUAGCCCCAAAACAAUCUAGAAUUAUAGGGAAGGCCUUCUACACCAUCGGAACAGUGGUGGUGCGUCUUCCCCACGCGUCCCCGCCACUGGUGAUGUGUGGGUUCACGCGCCGCCGCACUCAACGUUUGAAAAUGGACAGAUCAAGUCUGCUUUUUUCUUCUCUUCCCCUCCCUGUCGGUUGUGAGGAACACCAUCACUUACAAAAGAAGAAAACACGCACAAUACAAUCGAUUUCAAUUUUUUUCCCUAGUUUUUCAGAUUUUCUCCUCUACCUUCUGUUUUAGAUCUGCCUCACUGCAGAUCUUCCUUUUUUGUUUUUGUCUUCUCCUCUUCUGCGGCAGGUAGGGGUUCGGCUUGUAUGGGAUGGUGUCUGUAGGGGAGGAGCUAGAGGAGGAAGGUGUUAUUGCAUGGGGAGCAAGUCGUCACUGCUGAUUGAAGAAGGUGGGAAGUUCUAGCGGAUGAGGAAGAGACGGAGAGAGUGGGGCUGUCUUGGUUGGUCUGUGGCCAUUGCUGCUGAGGAGACCGAAGAAGAAGACACUACUAAGGUGAGGCUGGGAGAAGGCUGGCAGAGCAGAAGGAGACCUUGAAUAGGCUGGAUCUCUGAUGAGGACAAAUAAAGUGAGGAGGGUGAGGGGCUGUUUGAGAGAGAACUGGCUAAGGGAAAGGGGAGGUCUAUGAAAGUGGGGGUGUUCGGGUGGCUGGUCUGUGGGGGCUAAGAGAGGUGAGGGAUGAUGGGUGUUGGUCAACGGCUGGGAAGGGAAGAUGAAAAGGAAAAAUGGCCAGAGAGAGGGAAGAUGGCUGGGGAAGAGGAAGAAAAAAAAUCAGUGGGGUGCGGCUACUAUUUUGUUUUCAAGUGUAGGGGGGCGCCACUGACUGGUGUGAAGGAGAUGGGUUUUUAGGGUUAGGUUUUUUUUUAUUAAUUUUCUUCUAAAUGUGCAAAAUUGCCCCCCUCUUUUGUGUGGAAGGCUAUUAUUUAUAGGCCAAAUGUUGUUUGGGCCUCAAAAUUGGUCCCACAACUUUGUUUUUUUUUUUUUUGUAAAUUUUGAUUUUUCUUAAUUUUUUGUAUUUUUUGAAAAUGAGCAAUAUCAAUGUCGACUCAAUGAGAAAAAUCAAUGAUUUUAAAAAUGACACGUGAAAAGUCGAACGCGUUCAAUAGACCCUUGAAAUUUUUAAUUCUUUUUUUAAACGACGUUGAAAAUGUUAAAAACAAAGCAAAUAUAUUAAAAACAUAAUUUUUUUUUGUUGUUUUUUGCUAUUUUUGGAUUUUCUGAAACUUUUAUCAAAAAAGUGGGUAAAAAAUUGGGUAACAAUAGAUGCCCCCUCUUUACAAUGCUUACAAAGUAAAACUCCUCAAUGUUUUGCAUAGUAAGUUUUGUAAAGAAAAUAAAAGGAAAAUGAUCUCAUUAUCAUGGGCAACCUGUCCCUUUUGAAGAAAAGUGGUCUAUUUUCAGGGGCGAUCGGCCCACGCGCAGUCACACUGGUCUAUUUUCAGGGGCAACCAUCCACACGCACUUACGGUGACCUACCUAGGUGGAAGAAUGGCCUCAUUAUAAUGGGUGACCUACCCAGAUAAAAAAAAAUGGAGAAUUGGUCGCGUUGUAAUGGUGACCUACCUAGAAAAAAUGGUCUCAUUAUAAUGGGUGACCUACCCAAGUGGAAAAAAGGAAGAGUGAUGUCAUUGUAAUGAGUGAUCUAUCCAGGUGGAAGAAUGGCCUCAUUGUAAUGGGUGACCUACCCAGAUAAAAAAAACAUGUAGGAUUGGUCGCGUUGUAAUGGGUGACCUACCUAGAAAAAAUGGUCUCAUUGUAAUGGGUGAUCUACCUAGGUGGAAGAAUGACCUCAUUGUAAUGGGUUACCUAUCCAGAUAAAAAAAACAUGGAGAAUUGGUCAUAUUGUAAUAGGUGACCUACCUAGAAAAAAUGUUAGUCUCAUUGUAAUGGGUUACCUAUCCAGAUAAAAAAAACAUGGAGAAUUGGUCAUAUUGUAAUAGGUGACCUACCUAGAAAAAAUAUUAGUCUCAUUGUAAUGGGUGACUUACCCAAGGAAAAAAAAAGAGUGGUUUCAUUGUAAUGGGUGACCUACCCAGGUAAAAAAAAACAUUGAGAAUUGGUAGCGUUGUAAUGGGUGACCUACCUAGAAAAAAUAUUGGUCUCAUUGUAAUGGUGGACUUACCUAAGGAAAAAAGAAAGAGUGGUCUCAUUGUAAUGGGUGACCUACCCAGGUGGAAGAAUGGCCUCAUUGUAAUGGGUGACCUACUUAGAUAAAAAAAAACAUGGAGAAUUGGCCGCAUUGUAAUGGACGACCUACCCAAACAAAUGUUGGUCUCAUUGUAAUAGGUGACCUACCCAAAGAAAAGGAAAGAGUGGUCUCAUUAUAAUGGGUGACCUACCCAAGUGGAUGGCCAGGGUUCAAAGGCAAACUUGAAUGGAGGUAGGGUUAGAAAACGCAUUACCUAAGAGAUGGUGGCUUAGGGGCACACUCAGAAGGAGGCAGGGUUAGAAAAUGCACUACGUGAGAAGUGAGGGCUCAAAGAGGCACUCGAAAUGAGUAGGGUUAGAAAAUGCACUACCUGAGAAAUGGUGGCUCAAAGGUGCACACAAAAGGAAGUGAGGGCUCAAAGGCGCACUCAAAAUGAGGUAGGGUUAGAAAAUGCACUACACAAGAGAUGGUGGCUCAAAGGCACACUCGAAAGGAGGUAGGGUUAAAAAAAAACACACUACUUGAGAAGUGAGGGCUUAAAGGUUCCUUCAAAAGGAGGUGUAACACUGAUCUGUCAAUGAUGAAAGCAAUGUAUUAUGAAUGAUAUGCAUGUACACUUACUUGAGAAAUAUGGGUCCCUAUUUAUUCAUAGUGUCUUUCUUUUCUCAAAAGUUUGAGUGUUGAUAGUAAACAUCGAUGGCUUUUCCUUCUUGUUUACUCGAGUCAUAUCUUGUGUUCUUGACCUCUAGGAAGGAUUUCAAAUCAUCAUUUGCCCCCCGCCUUUUAUCUCAAGGAUUGCCAAUUUUGCCUGGUAUUUUUCUUAGAAAGGAAAUCAUGGUGCUAACCCUACCAGAUGUUUUUGAUUGCCCCCCAUCUUGAUCAUGUCCUCAAGUGUUAAAUUCGGGUUUGGAGAUGAUGCUAUAUGAAGGAAGGUUUGACAAGGAGUUAUUUUCAUUCAAAAAUUUUGGAAUUUGAAAGCUAUUCCAGACAUAGAAAUCCCUUUGACAUCGAUUCAAAGUAAACUAUUUUUGAAGAAAUCCAAGUGAUUCCUAUGGAGAGGUUUUCAAGAGUGAUGAAAACUUUUUUUUGUUUUGCUUUUGGUGAAAAAUGUGAAGUGACGUUUGGUUGGUCAAAAAUGGUUUGAAUUUCAAUUUGAGGGUUACAGAGAACCAAUUUUCAAAGCAUUAUUUUAUUUGCAUGAAUAAUGAUUUGCUUCGCAUGAGAAAGCACUGCCUACCAAUGAUUGCUCGCCUUUAAUUAGAAAAGGGCUUGAUUAGGCACGUAAUAUAGGCUUGGGCUAUUGGUUAUAAAGGAAAAGGAUAUUUACAAGCUCAAAACGUGUUUAAAGGGAUUUCAAAACUAAGGAUCACUAGUGUUUGUUUCCUGACCUUUUAUCUUUUGAAUUUGUUUCCAUAAUGGUCUGUUGUGCUCCCCAGUGUUGGGCUUGGGCUCUUUCAUUUUGUUUUCUUCAUUUGGUUUUGAGCAUCAUCGUAUUGGUUUUUUUUUUAUGCUUAAACUUUUUGAAUCCUUUGGAUUUUUCUUCAUGCUCCUUAGCUUUGUUCGGGUACCUUUAAUGAUUGAGAACUUUCUUUUUAAUGCCCUCCAGUGUUGCUUGGGCACUUUCAAUCAUUAAGUUUUUUUUUUUUGUCUUUUGCACUAGCCCCCCAAUGUGAGGUGUGAUCCUAGCCAAGGUAAUUUAUCUCAAGAAAAACAUUAGACUCAAAAGGGGACUGCAAUUGUAUAUUUUAGCCUCAUAAACGGAUUAUAAAAAAUGGCCUUUCCUCAUCUCAAACACAUGCACUUUAGAUCGGUAAGCCUUGCUUUCAUUCGAGUAUGCAACAUGAUUUCUCAUUAUUCAUUCAAAUAAAACUCAACUUUGGAGUCAAUUCAUGGUGUUUUUUUUGUUUUUUGUUUUGUUUUUCCUUUUUUUUUUCAGGUUUUCUAGGUGUAUGGUUACCUUUCUAAGGAAUCAUUUAAAUUUUCAAAACUCGUUUGUUUUGGACAAACACCAACAUCAUUUUUGUUUUUGUACUAAACUUUGAAUUCCCAAAAAUCCUUGUGAAGACGUGCGAUCAUGCAUAGUUUUGGAAGAAAAGAAAAACACACCAAAAGAUUCUUGGCACAAUGGUUUCAUGCUUAAAGGUUAUGCUCAAUGUGUUAUUUGCAUGAAACUACAACAAAAAGAAAGGCAUGUUAUGAACACUAGAAAACAUAUUGUUGUAACCCAUUUUUGGGUCCCCAUAAAAAAAUAAUAAAUACAAAAAAUAAAAAAUAAAAAAUGAAAGGCUAAACGGUGCCGUUUUGAACGACACUGUUCCCCUUUCUUCCCCACCGAGCAUACAGCAGGAAAGAAGGAAAAAAAAUGCAUAUUUAAUGACGCCGGUCCCUCAAGCCCAUCGACCGCUGGUCCCUCUAGCCCACCGACCGAAGACAUUGGCCGACCACCUACAGCACCACCGAAACCGAGGGAGGCACGCCUGGACAGCCGCGCCCGACCAGCAGGAGACAGAGAAAAGGGGGGGAGAGAAGAGAAGGGAGAGACAGAGAGAAGAAAGUAGAAGAGAAGGGAGAGAGAGCGAAGAAGAAGAAGAAGCAGAGAAGAGAGUAAAACAGAGGAGAGAGAGAGAGAGGAAAACAGCACCGCCGGCCACCGCGAACAGCCAGUUCCGCCGCCGCCACCCCUGCCACAUCAGUUGCUGCCAACAUCACCACCGCUCCAGGUAGCCUUUCCCAUCGUUUUUUUUUUGGUUCAGCUUCAUCUGCAUGCAGAACGUUUACGUUCUGCAGCAGAUGAAGAUUAAUUAGCGAGUUACUACUAAUUAAUUCGCGGUUACUGUGCAUGUGCACAGUAACCCGCAGAUUAAUUAUCUGGUUACUGUACACACAGUAACCCCGGUUACUAUGUGCACAGUAGUCAGCCCAUUCUUUGGGCCAGGUUCGGCCCAACCCAUAUAUCUGGGCCUGAUCCGGCCCAUUUCAAAGAAAAAAAUCAAAAAUAUUUGUUUCAGCAUUUUAUAAUUUUUUCGUGUAAUUUUUAUGUCAUUUCGAUUAAUAUUUGGUGGUAUUUUUUUUAUGUUGUUAAAAAUACAAAAAUUUGAUUUUCAAAUACCCGGUUUUCGUCAAAAAAAAAAACUUCCACAAAAUACAAAAAAAAGAAAAAAAGAAAAAAAAAUGUUUUUGUGCAUACGGCCAAGUGUCUCAAAGCUAAAAAUUCAUAUUGUAUUUUUUCAUACACAAAAAAAAAUGUUUUUGCAUGCAUUUUGGCUUUAAUAACCAGUUUAUUAAAGUCAAGAGAAUAUUGGCCAAUAUCUCAAAAACAACAAAAAUUUUAUUUUGUUUGGCUCUUAGUAUCCGGGGUAUGACUUUACAUGUAAUGCAUAUUCCGGAUAUUUAAUUCUUUUUUUUUUUUACAAUAGAACCUAGGGUAUGACAUUACAUGUAAUGCGUAUUCCGAACAAUAAAAAACCACAACACGACCUUAGAUUUUAUCAGACAUUAAAACAAUGCAGCUUACCUUAGGUAGGGCGUAGUUGGGGUGCUAAUACCUUCCCUUUACGCAACCAGUCUUCGUACCCGAUCUCUAAAAACUAGUUAAGGUUCCUAGUAACCAGAAUACUAGGUGGCGACUCCCUGUCCAUUUUUUAGCUUAGAGACAAAGAACUCCUUGUAUCACCAUAUUUUCCAUGCCAAAUAGACAACAUACCACACCCUCAUGAAGGGUUGGGGGUGGACGAUCGCCGCGCCGCCGCACACGUGCGACAAAAUGGCGACUCCACUGGGGACUUUGUGGACUAAGCUUUGUUUUUGUCUGAUGAUUGUGUUUUAUUGUUGUGGUUUGCGUGUUUAUUUUUAAAUAUGCAUUUUCUUUAUAUAUUUGUUCAUAUUUAGUUGUGCGCUUUAAUUUUUGUACAUAUUUAUCUCAUGCAUCACAUAAUUAAUUUUUUUUAAAAGCACACACAAGCUUCAGGUUAGGGGGGAACUAACAGCUUACCUUAUGACUUUUAGUCAAGGUUUAAGUUUGUGUAAACCCCAACUCUUCGUUGAGUGCUUAGACUGGUAAUAGUUGGACACGUGCCAUCUCACUGCCUACAAGCCCCCAUAUUGCCUCCACGAGGGCGAUCAUUGGGACAACGAGAGUCCUGUUUUAGAGACCAAAUAGUAAACCUACCUUUUGUCUCACUUAAAAAGAUUAGAACCUGCCUUUAGGAUGUAUGCUCCGUAUACAUUGUUUUGCAUCCGAGCAAGCCCUUCUUGAAGCAUCUUGAACUCCAGACUUAUGGGUGACACAAUGACCGUCGCUUAGAAAAAUUUCAUUGUAGAGUUUGUGCAAGAAUCAAGAUUCUUGUUUCAUCAUACAAGAGUUGCGACCAUAUGUCACCCCUCGAAGGGCGAGUUCGUCAGAUAGAUUACAUGUUCAUACAUUUAACAUGCAUACAUGUCAGAUUGAAAUAUAGGUCCCCAAAAAGUCUACAACACCCGACUUCGAGCAAGAAACAUGGAAGAUGAAGAGCGUGCUCAACGUGAUGCCUAUUUGCACGAGGAGUUGGAGUCUCUGAAAAUAAGUGUGGCUCACCUCAUGAAGGGUUGGGGGUGGACGAUCGCCGUGCCGCCGCACACGUGCGACACAUAUGAUCUUAUUAACAAGAAAGGCUAAUUUGAAAGAGAAACUCUUGUGGCAUUAGGAGCUUACCAACAAGAUUGAAACAGGUUGAAACAAAAAAAUCAAAAAGCUUUGAUGGCAUGACGAAACAGAGGUGGUUAUGUUGGACAGAACAAGAAAAGACUCCAUUCUGCAACUGUGGUGCAACUCCCCUUCGGCUAGCCUUCCCAUGAAAGCUUUUGUAGAAAUACUGGAUUGUGUUGAGGCUCUUGACCAUGUUUGCCCCUAAUUUCUUCAGGCUGAGUCGUUGUUGGGGUUUGAAUAAAGAUGAUAGGUCGGUUGGAAGGAACUUCACCAGAGUUAUUUCUUAGUAUUUGCUCGAGUAAGCUAGAGGCGAGUCGUGGUUGUCUUUUGAGACUCCAACUCUUCUUGAAAAUGGAUAUUAUGGUGAGCACACUCUUCAUCUUCCAUUUUUUUUUGCUCAAAGUCAGGUGUUGUAGAAUCGUAGGGGACCUACUUUUCAUCUCGGUGCAUGCAUGAAAAAUGUAUGAACAUGUAAUCUAUAUGAUGAACUUGCCCUUCGAGGGGUGACAUAUGAUCGUAACUCUUGCAUGAUGAAAUAAGAAUCUUUAUUCUUGUCCAAACUCUACAAUGAAAAUUUUCUAAGUGACGGUCAUUGUGUCACCCACAAGUCUUGAGUUACAGAUGCUUCAAGAAGGGUUUGGCCUGAUGUAAAUAAAGAUAGCACAUACAACCUAAGGACAAGUUCUAUUCAUUAUGUGAAUAUGGGUAGGUUUUUUACCUGGCUCAAGAGGGUCUCAUAUAUGCCCAGUGAUGAUCUUCGUAAAGACAAUAUAGAAGCAUUGCAAGAAAUGGUUAAGGCACGUAUAUCCACCAUUACCAAGCGAGUACUUAGAUAUGCGUUGGGUGUUUCAUGCAUCUGAACCCUGAUCAAUAGUCUUAAGACAGAUCGCUAGUUCCCCACCUAACCUAGAAGCUUGUGUGUGCUUUGAAAAAUUAAAACAGGUGAUGCAUGAGACAAUUCUAUAAAAUGCAUGGAAACAAAAACAUUAAAAAAGAGAUAAAACUGCAAAAACUUAGACACAUGGUCAAGAACAACUUAGACACACUAAGAAAUACCUCUGAUGAAGGUCCUUCUAAUCAACUGAUCACCUUUGAUCCGACUCCUACUUCAGUUCAGCCUGAGGAAAGAAUGAGCGAACAUGGUCAAGAACCUCAGCAAAAUCUAACAUUUGUGCAGUCAACGACACCUGCACCAUCCCCAACAGUUAUGAAGGCAUCUGCUAAUGAGUCCCACAAGGCUAAGUCAUCUGAUAGCAUUGAUCAAGCUAAGAUAGAGGCGCUGGAAGCCAGACUCAAAGCCAUUGAAGGGGUAGACUUAUAUGACCCGGUACGGGCAGUAGAGAUGUGUUUGGUCCCAAACGUGGUUAUCCCAAAGAAAUUUUGUGUUCCUGAAUUCAUCAAAUACAGUGGAACACAAUGCCCCAUGACUCAUCUCAGGUCCUACUGCAAUAAAAUGGCUGAGGUAGUACAUGAUGAAAAACUACUAAUGCACUUUUUCCAAGACCGUUUAAGUGGGGCAACUUUGAGUUGGUACAUGAGAUUGGAUAACACAAAAAUUCGCAACUGGAAAAAUCUUGUGGAUGCUUUCGUCAAGCAAUACAAAUACAACAUGGACAUUGCGCCCGACAGAACCAGUUUGUCCAAUAUAGAGAAAAAGGAUAAAGAAAGCAUAAGGGAAUAUGCUCAAAGAUGGCGAGAAUUAGCUGCUCAAGUACAUCCCCCACUUCUGGACAAAGAGAUGGUCUCUUUAUUUGCCAACACACUCAAAGCACCAUAUUACGAACAUAUGAUGGGUAGUUCAGCCCAACAAUUCACUGAUGCUGUGAUAGUGUGUGAACGCAUAGAGCAAGGUGUCAAGAGUGGUAGAAUUGCUGCACCAACCGAGAAAAGAGGCGUCGAAAGAAAAGAGGUUCACCAUGUUGAAGAUGGCUACAUGGGUAAAAAAAUACAUCCCAAAAUUACCAUACUCCAUCCCAAAUUGCCAACAUCAAAAACCUGAACCCCAAAACUUUCAAGCCAAAAGCCAAAUUGGAAAUUUCCAAAGGGUUCAAGAACAACUACCUCCACUACCGUUACCCCUGAAUGAGAUGUAUCAAAAGCUAUUGAGCAUCGGGCAAAUAGCUCCAGAACCUCUGACACCUCUGCAGCCACCUUAUCCUAAUUGGUACAAGCCAGAACUCAAUUGUGAAUACCAUGCCGGUAUUACUGGGCAUAGCAUCUAUACCUGCAAUGCCUUCAAGAGAAAGCUUCUGCAAUUAAUCAAGGUAGGGUGGAUAGAAUUGGAAGACACCCCCAAUGUGAAUACGAACCCGCUGCCUAAUCAUGCUUGAAGCAUAUUAGGAUGGAAUGUUUGGGGAAUUGGAAAGCAUCAAUGGUCCAGCAUGAUAGCUUGAAUUUUUUACCGUGGUGUUGUUCCGCAUUGUCUUUGAGUCCUCUACGCAGAGCUUUUGAGAGGAGUUUAGCCUAUGAACAGAUUCGCCAAAAUAGAGGAAUGAAGCCUGCCUUGUUAUUGCCUUUUGUUAAUGCUUUUGAAUAAGACUUUCUCUGUUAAUGAGCUUCUCUUGUGAAAUAAGAUCAUGUGUUUUCUUGUGUUCACAUCACACUCUUCUUUGUUGUUAUUACAUGUAAAUAACAUUUUGAGCGCAACUUUGCUCACAACACUACAACAUGAAGAAUCCUUUGGUGUUCCUUUCUUCCAAACCCAUACAUUAAUCUCAUAUGUUUUCAAGGAUAUUUUUUUGGGACCUCCAAAGUGAGUACAAAAACAAAAAUCGUGUUGAUAUUUGUCCAAAACAAAUGCAUUUUGAAAAUUCAAGUGAUUCCUUAAAUAGGUACACAUAUACCUAGAAAACUUGAAAAAAAAAAGACAAUAAAGACAAACAACACUAUGAGGUGACUCAAAAGCUGAGUUUUAUUUGACUGAAUAAAUCACUUUGCAUACGCGCAUGAAAGCAAGACCUAUCGAUCCUCAAUGCAUGAGUUUGAGAUGAGGAAAGGCCAUCUUUGAUAAUCCUUUCACAAGGCUGAAAUAUAUCCUUUGCAGUCCCAUUUUGAGCCUAGUAAUGUUUUUUGGAAAUAACCUUGACUAGGAUCACACCCCACACUGGGGGGCAAAAUAAGAGAGUUUGUUGUUUUUACCAUCCAGACAAAGCAGUGAAGAUGGGUGCUGGAAUUGAUCAUGUAAUUUUUCAUCUUUCAUUAUCAUCCAAAUGAAACAAUGAAGAUAAAUACUGCGAUUGGUUAAAAGAUUUGAGCUUCUCAUAAAAACAACUGAUAUGAUUGUGCUCAACGAAACAAAAACGAAGAAAACAAAGAGAAAAGCCCAAACCCGACACUGGGGCAGGACAAAUCAUUUUAAAAAAAAAACAAAUCCAAAAGACAAAGGUCAGGAAACAAGCACAAGUGAUUCCUAGUUUUUGAAAUCCCUUAAACACUUUUUGAGCCUGCAACAUAUCCAUUUUCUUCGUAACCAAUAGCCAAAGCCUACAUUAUAUACCUGAUAAAGCCCUUUCUGAUCAAAGGCAAGCAAUCUGGAUAGGUAGGCAGUGCUUUCUCGUGUGGGUCAAAUCAUUAUUCAUGCAAAUAAAAUAAAUGCUUUGAAUCAAUUCGGUUCUCAAUAACCCUCAAAUUGAAAUUUAAACCUUUUGUGACCAACCAGAUGUCACUUCAUCUUUAAACCAAAAGCAAAAAGCUUUCAUCACUUCAAGAAACCUGUCCAUAGGAAUCACUUGAAUUUUUUAGAAUAAGUUUAUUUUGAACCAAUGUCAAAAUCAUUUUUGUGAUUGGAAUAGCUUGGACGUUCCAAAAAUUUUGCAUGAAAAUUAUCUUUUCAUGGCUUCGAAAUGUUAAAGAAGUUUUCAAAAUUAUCUUUUCAUCGGAUAUUAGAAAUAUGACUUACGUGUAAGUUCAUAAUUCUUGACCGUGAGUAAAUAAAAAUAUUAAAUUCUUCUUUAUUCUUUGCAAUUUUAUUUUCAUAAUUCCAAAUAGCUUCCUCCUUUCUUCCUUUCCUAGCUCAACCAAUUGAUUUUGGUUUUUAUUUCCUUUGUUUUUCAGAUCCGCUUUGGUUUCCUUUCUUAGAUCGGUCCCGUUUCUCUGCCUUCUCCCUUCUAUAUUUCAGGUGGUCGGUUGUAUGACUAAGAGGUUGUCGGUGACAAAUCUUUUGUUGUCUAACCGGUGGAGAUGGAGGAGAAAGGAGUGUUGUCUGGUCGCCGGUUUCGAUUGGAAAUGAGGUUGGAUCUGCGGGCGCUGCUGAAGGGAGAAGGCGGACCGAUCCGAGUCUGUAGGCGCCGCCGUGCUCGGGCUGUUAUUGGAGGGUCUAAUUUGGUCUUGAAGAGCUGGCUGGUUGGCGGUGACGGAGAUCGGCUGAUAUUGUGGUCUGGUUUGUUCCUUGGCCGAUCUGUUAAGAGAGGAGAGGAGUUUUGAUGGGAAAGAGAAAAGUGAGGGGGAGCUGAUGGUUGGCUUCUGUUUUUUUUCUUUUGCAAAGGUGGGGGGGCGGCCAGUUUUGGUUUUGCCAAGGGAAAGGAGUAGGUUUGGUUUGUGUUUUGCAAAGAGAGGAGGGCCAGCUGAGAGUUUGUGCGCAGGGAGGAUGAGGUGUGGCUGAGGAGAAAAAAAAUUCAGAAAGGGGGGCGGCUGCUUCGGGUCAUUCGGGUGAGAGAAAAGAAUAGGUUUUGGAUGAUGGGGGCUAUCUUGGCUGAGAGGGAGAGGCUCCUUCGGGUGGCCGGGAAGAAAAGCCUUUUGGCUGGCCAGAAUCAGGGCAGUUGUGAUGAGGAGGGGCGGGGACUUAGAGAAGAGAUAGAUCUAUGGUUUCCUGGUUUUUUUUUAAUCUCCAAACUACCCGCCUCCCCUUUGUGAAUUUUUCUCCCCCCUAUAAAACUAUUUUUGACUUAUAUUUAUACGUACAAUGUUGCUUGGUCCUCCAAAUUGGUCCCUCAACUUUCAUUUUCUUUUUUUUUUGUAAAUUUUGAAUUAUUUUUAUUUUAUCAACAUCAACUCAAUGAGGAAAAUCAAUUAUUUCAAAAAUAAUGCGUAAAAAGUCAUACGCGUUCAAAAGACCUUUGAAAAAUUAAAUUCUUUUGAGAUGAUGCUGAAAAUGCUAAAAACGAUACAAAUAUAUUAAAAACAUAUUUUUUGGAUUUUCAUUGUUUUUCACUAUUUUUGGAUCUUUUUCAAAAAUUUUAUCAAAUAGGUGGGUCAAAAAUUGGGUAACAACAGAUAUUCUGUCGCACGUCACCUGCGCGAUGUUGGUUGGUGAUUUUUUGUUUCGUCUGCUUGCUUCGUUGGGAGUCGCCACCUAGUAUUUAAUUGAGGGAUACUAGAAAACCCGGAUGUAUUGGUCUUGCUAGAGAUUCAUGGGUAAUUGACUGGUUGUGGUUAAGGAAGGUUUUAGCACCUUUAACGCACCCUACCUGAGGUAAGAUGCUUCGUGGCUUUGAAAUGUUAAAGAAUUUCUAAAAAAAUUUUAUUUUCAUCGGAUAUUAGAAAUUCGACUUACGUGUAAGUUCAUAAUUCUUGACUGUAAGCAAAUUAAAAUAUUAAAUUCUUCUUUAUUCUUUGCAAUUUUAUCAUAAAACAAAUCCAUAAAAAGCAUACAAACACACACAUACACUUUUACUAUAUAUUUUACUUUUUUUCCUUUCCUUUUUUUUAUUUUUUUACAUCCUUCAAAAUACAAACUCAAAACAACUAAACAAAAAUUACAUUACAUAAUUUUAAAUUUACAAAAUAGCCCUUAAAAAAUCAAGGAAUUGCAAAGGAAGGCUUCUGGAAUUGUAGGACCUGUGGCGGCGCGUAUCCUCCUUGCACCACUGCCACUGGUGGUGCGUGAGUUCAUGUGCCACCGCAUGAAAAAUCCGAGAAAGAAAGGGGAUCCUGAACAACUUCCUCCCUUCUUCAUUUCCUCGCUGGCGGUGACCUGUAAAAACAGCAAAUCACAACCAGUUGAUUUUAGUUUUUAUCUCCUUUAUUUUUCAGAUUUGUUUCGGUUUUCUUUCUUAGAUCGGUCCCGUUUCUUUUCCUUCUCCCUUCUCUGUUUCAGGUGGCUGACUGUAUGACCAAGAGGUUAUCGGUGACUGAGCUUCUAUUGUCUGAUCGACGGAGAUGGAGGAGAAAGGAGUGUUGUCUGGUUGUCGGUUUCAGUUGGAAAUAAGGUUGGAUCUACAGGCGCUGGUGGAGGGAGAAGGCAGACUGAUCCGAGUCUGUGGGCGCCGCUGUGCUUGGGCUGCUACUGGAGGCUCUGCUUUGGUCUUGAAGAGCUAGCCGAUUUUCAGUGAAGGAGAUCAGCUGCUGCUAUGGUUGGGUCUGUUCCUUGGCCGGUCAGCUAAGAGAGGAGAGGAGUCUGGUGAUGGGAAAGAGAAAAGUGAGGGGGAGCUGAUGGCUAGCUUCUGUUUUUUUUUCUUUUGCAAAGGUGGUUGGGGGGGGGGGAGCGGCCAAUUUUUGUUUUGCAAAGGGAAAGGAGUAGGUCUAGUUUAUGUUUGGAAAAGAUAGGAGGGUUGGCCGAGAGGUUAUGUGUAGGGAGGAUGUGGCUGAGGAGAAGAAAAAAAUCAGAAGAGGGGGCGGCUGCUUGGAGUCGUUCGAGUAAGGGAGAAGAAAAGGUUUUGGAUGAUGGGGGCUGUCUUGUCUAAAAGGGAGAGGCUCUUUCGGGUGGCCGGGGAAGAAAAGCUUUUUUGUUGGCUAGAAUCAAGGAAGUAGUGAUGGGGAGGGGGGCAGCGACUUGGAGAAGAGAUAGAUCGAGGGUUUUCUUUUUUCUUUUUUUUUUACUCUCCAAACUGCCCCGUCCCUUUGUGAAUUUUAUCCCCCCCCUAUAUAAUUUUUUUUACUUAUAUUUAUAGGUAAAAUGUUGCUUGGUUCUCAAAAUUGGUCCUCUCCUAUUUUUUUCUUCUUUUUUUUGUAAAUUUUGAAUUUUUUUUUUGUAUUUUUUGAAAAUAAGCAAUAUCAACAUCAACUCGAUAAGGAAAAUCAAUUAUUUCAAAAAUGACACGUGAAAAGUUGAACGCAUUCAAAAGAUCUUUGAAAAAUAAAUUCUUUUGAGACAAUGCUGAAAAACCUAAAAACGAUACAAAUAUAAUAAAAAAAUAUUUUUUGGAUUUUCGUUGUUUCUCUCUAUUUUUGGAUUUUUUUCAAAAAUUUUAUUAAAUAGUGGGUUAAAAUUUGGGUAACAAUAGAUGCCCCUUUUUUACAAUGCUUUCGAAGCAAAACUCCUCAAUGUUUUGUAUGGUAAGCUUUGUAAAGAAAAGAAAAGGAAAAUGAUCUCAUUAUCUUGGGCGACUUGCCCCUUUUGAAGAAAAGUGGUCUAUUUUCAAGGGCGACCAGCUCACACACUCAUACUGGUUAUUUUCAUGGGCGACCUGCUCACAUAUACUCAAAGUGGUCUAUUUUCAGGGGCGACCAGGCCACACACUCGUACUGGUCUAUUUUCACGGGCAACUUGCCCACACAUACUCACUUUGAUCUAUUUUCAUGGGCGACCAGCCCACACCGUCUCACUAGUCUAUUUUCACGGGCGACCUGCCCACAUAUACUUAAAGUGGUCUAUUUUCAGGGGCGACCAGCCCACAUACUCACACUGGUCUAUUUUUAGGGGCGACCUGCCUACACAUAUUCAAAGUGGUCUAUUUUCAAGGAUGACCUGCCCUCUUGAUUUGGUUUACCUGAGAUCCCAUCUAGCAAUCUAAUAAGAACCAAAAUCGGUGUGUAGCUCGGUCAACCUGAAAUCCCAUCUAGCAAUUCCUUUAACCAGAGCUAAAUUCUGCAUAGUUAGGCUAAACUGAGAUCCCUUCGCCGGUCCCCUUUAUAAUUAGGCUAAACUGAAAUCCCAUCUAGCAAUUGUAUAGUAAGCUUUGUAAAGAAAAUGAAAAUGAUCCAUUAUCUUGGGUGACCUGCCCCUUUUGAAGAAAAGUGGUCUAUUUUCAGGGGCGACCAGCCCACACACUCAUACUGGUUUAUUUAAUGGGCGACCUGCCCACACAUACUCAAAAUGGUCUAUUUUUAAGGGCGACCAUGCCACACACUCACACUUGUCUAUUUUUACGGGCAACUUAUCCACACAUACUCACUUUAAUCUAUUUUUAUGGGUGACCAGCCCACACCGUCUCACUGGUCUAUUUUCACAGGCGACCUACCCACAUAUACUUAAAGUGGUCUAUUUUCAGGGGCGACCAACCCAAACACUCACACUAGUAUAUUUUCAGGGGCGACCAGCCCACACAUACUCAAAGUAGUCUAUUUUCAAGGGCAACCUACCCUCUUGAUUGGGUUUACCUGAGAUCCCAUUUGGCAAUCUAACAAGAACCAAAAUUGGUGUGUAGCUCGGUCAACUUGAAAUCCCAUCUAGCAAUUCCCUUUAACCAAAGCUAAAUUCUGCGUAGUUAGGCUAAACCGAGAUCCCUUCGCCGAACCCCUUUAACCAGAACUAAAAUCCUUUGUAGUUAGGCUAAACACAGAUUCCUUUGCCGAUCCCCUUUAACCAGAAACAAAGUAUGUGUGUUGUUAGGCUUAACUGAGAUCCUAAACUUGGCGGCAUUGCAAAGAAUCCAGUUUGCAUGGAUCAUGAUGCAAUAACAUCUUUUUUUAUGCCAUCGUAAAUUUUUUAAAAAUAUAAAACUUUAUGAUCCAUGCACAUAUAAUGGCAUAUUUUUUGAAUGUAUUAACUUUCAUACACCUUUUUUUACAACUUAUGCAGGUUUCACCUUGAUUGUGUUGUCAUUAAUGAAAAAGAUGUUAUAAACUUUCUCAUGGUUGAUCAAGUUGCAAAAACAUUUUUAGAUCAUCAACACAUCACUAUGUUUAUGAUGAUAUGGGCUUUAGUGACUACUUAGUUAUUGCACCACUUAUGGCAAGCAAGCCAAACAUACCAUAUAUUUUUCAAUUGUGAUUCGGAGCAUUCCGAUCAACUACAAAUUGUUGUGAGAUUGUUGUAACAAAUGUAUUUGAUAAUGUACGAGUUGAGCAAGUUGACAUGCAAUAAGAACAAUCUGAAACAUCAAAUGUUAGUGUAGUUUCUGAUAUAUCGAUUGUCUUGUCCAGCCCUCUUACUCCAUCAAAUAUCAUGCAACAAUCCAACCUCUCAAGUAUGCCAUUGACAGUCACUCCACCUGGGUUGUAGAAGGCACACAACGUUGGUUUGGUUAUUGGAACAAAGAGAAAACUUCACUUCGAUUUUGAUUAUGUUCAACAAAGGUUUGUCUCUCUUCCACUCCAAACUAAAACAACAUUUUAAUUAAUUCUCGGCUGCUCUACACAUUUUAAUUGUCCCUUGUAAAUUAUUCUAAUGCCAAUAUAGCUUGAAAUGUCCUUUACAACAUUUCACAACUAAGAAAGCCAUUGAAUACAACUAUCCAGGCAUAAGCAAGUUAGUUGGCUGAUAACCCUCGAAAAAACAAAGGACCAAUGGUUCAACCAAAACAAAGGUAUUGUUCCUACCUUAUACGCUAUACUAGAGGUUAAGGAUGAUGAUGAUUGCUUAACAAAGAAUAACCUCAAGCUAAUAAUGGUUUGUCACUUAGCAAAAACAAAGGACCAUUGAUCCAAUAACAAAAAACAACAAAGACAAAUGUCUUCACAAUUUUUUUGUUUUAUUAAGAUGAAAUGUCAUUUGCUUUAUAUUCAUUCUUGCCAUUUGUUGUUAUAUUUAUAAUAGUUCAACAAAAACAAAUUACAACUAUCACAAAUCAUUAUACUCCUCUCGUGCACUGUUACAUUCCUUUUUUUAUCAUUGUAAAUCAAUGCUUAGAAAACACUGUAAAGGCAACUAUCCUUAACACACUGUUACAAUGCACUUUAUCUUAUUUGAACUAUCUUCCACCCAAAAAACAACCACACAUACCUUUGAAUAAAUUGAGAUUGGAAAAAAAUAUACUUAUAUUUAAUUGCCAAUAAUUGUGUCAUUUUCAGUUGUUUUGUCUUAGCAAGAUAAUGCUUUUAUGUGAUAAUCUUAAAAACCUAAACCAAUACAUGCUAUCAUGUGAUUAUUACUGUUGUAUUGCAUUGAUACUGCUAUUGAUAUUCACAUACAUAUACUUACUAAUGACUAAAAUGACUAAUGUUUUAUGGCAAAUUGAUAUGGCUAACAUGUUAUGGUUAUUUUUAUUGGCUUUGAUUUUGAAACAAUUUUACAGUUAUCUUUCAAAGAUUAAUCAAGCUUUAAGUUUCCAAUUAAUAAAUUACAUGUUAUUGUAUAUUUUUCCAGGUCAUCACUGCCCGAAACCUUUCUAGAUAAAAUGUAUCAUAUUUAUUUCAUAGUUUUUCUAAACUAUGAUAGUUUAUAAAAUAACCACCAAUAUGACAGUAUUGGCUUUGCAAAAUUUUAGAGGACCAUGACAUUCACCUUUUCUAAUGUGCAAGAUUACUAGGCUUAUAGCAACAUGCAUGUUGAUGCAGCUGCUACAAGGGCCACAUUUUUUUCCUUUUUUUUGUAUUAAAAAAAAAUUGGAAGCACUUUCAUUUUCAUUUAUAGAACCAUAAGGUUUUUGUCAUUAUGUUUUAAUAGUUGGGUCUGUUGAUAUGCUCCAACAGCAUGCAUUACUGCUUUAUAUAUUUUACCUUCUAAUCAUGUCAAUCAAAAUAUAAACCUUAUUUUAGAAUUAACAAAAGUUGCUUCAAUCUUAGAAGAUGGUUUUUCACUACCAUUCAUUAAUGUUCUUUAUGAAUACUUACAAUGAAGCGUAGAUAAUCUAACUAUUUUUUUUUUCUAGAAAACACAAGACAAACUAUUGUUGGCUGUUGCAAACAAGAAAAUCAAUUUUUUUGGCACAAUCUAGCUCUAGCUUGAUAUCAAGAUUUUUUUUUUUUAAGAUCAUAAUAACUUUAUAAAACAUAAAUAAAAAUAAAUUAUACAAUCUAAUUUAACAUCAUAACAAUAUUGAAGAAUUAAAUCGAUAAAAAAACUUCAUAAAAAUUAAGUGAAAAAAAAGAGAUAACUGUGAGUGCAUGAAGAGUGGAAUCAGGAGCCUUUGAAGAUUUCCUCUUAAUACAUAUGUAUGGAAUGGAGGAGCACAUAAAAAGCUUAUCUACUUCUAACAACGUAUCCAUCUAAUGAACCAAAAUUCUAAAAGUUUAUUAUUAUUAAUUUAUCAAAGCACCUAUAAAUGCAUGCCCUUUCUCUUGCUUCUUAUACAGAUUUGGAUGAAACUUUCUUGAUUCUAGCCACACAGUUGUCUGUUGGUCUUGUAUGAGGGAGGAACAUCCAACGACAUUCAGGAUUUUCACGUUCGAGCCUGUAACAUCAAAUACAUAUAGUAUACAAUAAUGUAUCUAGGAUAAAAUAAUGCAGGAUCGUUCAUAAAUAUUAACGGAGAGAUUCACCUAUAAUCAAGAAGAAAAUAAUGCAGAAAAAUAGAUAUUUCAAGCUUGGCAAGAUCAUUUCCAGGGCACAGCCUGCUUCCAGCUCCGAAAGGAAGGAAAGUCCCUGGUUUGGGGUUGUAAUUCUACAAUUAAGGAUGUUAAUAUUUAUGGUGAUCAUCAAAAUAUAUAGUAACCACUGCCGGAGCUGAUUGACUUACAUCCCAUCUUGAAGGAUUAAAUUUCUUUGGAUUUGGAUAGAUUUCUGGAUCCAAAUGAAUUGUCCUGAACCAAACUAGAACUUUCCAACCCUUUGGAAUGAUGUAUCCUGAAGAUCAUUACAUUAUAUCCAUCAGUGAACGAACUAUAGGUCUAUCAAAAAUGUUUAGACUAACUCCCCUAAGGAGAAGAUCUUUUAGCAACUAACCAUUUAUACUGAAAUCUGUUUUUGCUUCUCGAAAAACAGUAAGCGAGAAUGUGAUCAAACGAAGAGUUUCAUCAAUCACCUACAACAAAUUAUGAAAUUAAAAUAUGUUGCUAUGAACUUAAUUGACUUGCAACAAGCUGAACAUAAAAUCAUGACAAGCUACUGAUAAAUUUUACCUUGGAAAGAUAAUCCAUUUCUCGAACUUCCUUAAGUGACAAUCCCUUUUGUGCUGGCGGCCUUCUUUUUACAAUCUGUUCUUGCUCUUCCUAAAAUGAAAUCAAGUGAUGGAUCAAUGCACGGACAUACUUUCAACGGAAAAAUGGUAGGUGUCUUAUAAUUAAUGGAAUUACGGUACAUACCUUAGCUUUUUGGAGAAAUUCUGGAUGUUCCUGGAGGAAAAUAGUAGCCCAUGUUGUGAUAUGGCCAGAGGAUUCAUGGCCUGCAUUCAAGUACAUCAAAAUUACAUCUAUGAUUUCUUCAUCAGUCAAUUUCCUACCUUUUUCAUCUUCAACACCCAACAGAGAGUCCAUCAUGUCUUUCUUCUUUGCGUUAAGAGCACCGUUCUUCCUUAAAUUUCUACGCUCAUCCACUAUAGAUUGGAAUAUAGCGACAAGUCUUUUACGAGCCUGGAAUUAAUAAAAAUUCAUUAAUUUAAUCCCCUAGUUACAGCAGGAAUUAAAGAAGGCUAAAGUUAGAUGAAUAAAGAAUAAGAGUAGUAAUCAAGAAAAGUGAGAUCAACCUUCAAUGCUUUAUAGUAAGAGAAUCCAGGAAGAUUGAUCGCCAUGGCUCUGACUCCAUAAUUAAGAGUGGUGUAAUCCUUCUCCAAAGCCUCCAUAACCAACUCACUCUCAGAGCUAAGAAAUAUAUACAUGAUUAUUCUGAAGGUAAGUUUUCUCAUUUGAGUCAAGAACUCAAUCUUCCCCAUUGUGGUCCAUUUUUCCAACAUAGCUAUCACAUUUUCUUCUAUAUAUGGAAUGUAAACGGACAAUGCUUCGUGACCAUUGACAGGAGCGGACGUUAAGCGGCGGAGGCGUUUGUGCUCUUCGUAAGAAAUACCAAUGAAGGAUUUCCUUCCGACAAGCUUUAGUGUGGAAAUUGGCCAUCCAGGCUUAAAUGCAUCAUCGUUACUUAAUACUUUUCUGCAUGCUUCAGGUGUUGUUACGAAUAUACUCGGGUUCCCGAACAUGAAGGCCUUGUAGAUUCCAUUAUUUCCAUAUCUAUAUCAUAUUGCUUCCAUUUAAUUGAGUAAUAUAUCAUUGAUUAAUUAUAGUAAAACAAUUUCUUCUCAUAAGCCAGAGUACCACUGAUAUUAAAGAUAUGAUUCGAGCAACAAUAGAGCAAUUCAACUAUGUAAACUCAUUUACCAUGCACCAAUGUACGCGUAUAACACCCCUAAGAAUGGCAACCAAAGCCAAGAUAGAAAAACCACUUUUCUUUUCCUUAGAGAGAUAACAUAAAAAAGCAGAAAACAAUCAAAAUUUCAAGGAUACUAAUCAAGGUGUGAAAGGGCAAGGAAAUCUUCGAAUCACAUCCACAUGCUUGAGAUUUGGAGUAUCAUGUGAUGUAAUAAUUGGAACAGUUAGCAGGAUUAGGACCAUUCAUCUGAAAUUAUUAUUGACCCAGAAAGAAUUAUUGAAGAACAAAUAUUGUAGGGUACAUAUUUCAGAAGCUCUGUCUUCCCUGGUUUAAAAUACUACAGUAUAAUACUUUAAAUAUUCUCAAUAUUAAAUAAGAUUUGCUUUAAUAACAAGAUCAAAGGGAUUUAUGGUAGAUAGGAUAAGUAAAGGCUAAACAAAACGAAUAUUAGAUAGGAUAAAUAAAUUAUUUAUUUAUUGUACCGAAUUGCCACUUCCCCUGGAAAUAAAGAAGAAUGAUGGAAUGGCAUCAUGCCUAGAGGAAAGCUAGAAGACCGGAAAUGCCAUGAUAUAUGUAUGUACAUAAAAAGAAAAGAGAGAUGUAGAGAAAGAGAAAUUAGCAGUAUACUUGUUGAUGAAGAUGCGCAUGAAAGAAUCAGGAUCGCUGGAUUUGAAAGCUCUGAGAAAGGACCACAUAUUGCCGAUGAAAGGCCAGCCCAAAUCCCCUGGAGGUAGUGAGUACUGCUUUUCACCCAAUUCGGCUUCAUACAACCACCAAUUCACUUUCUUUAGAAUCCAUUUCCCAACCCCUAAUCCACCAAAUAUGAUUGCUAGGACCACACAGAUGGAUCCCGACUCCAUAGCUAACUAGCUUAAUUUGAAACAAGUAACCGAACAGAGGGGCCACCUGAUAAAAGAAUUUGAUAUAAGAGACUACUCUCAGACAUGCAUCCCUCUCAGUCACUUUUUAUGAGAAUUCUGUUUGAAGAUACAGGGGUAAUACUAGGUAUAUAUAUACAGAAGCAACACUACAGUCACGGGCAUAUACGUAGGUAUAUGGAAAUAAAAACAGCUUAAAAUAAUAGGAAAAGAGAGAAAGAAAUGCAAAAAUUGUUCUGCAUUGAAGGGAAGAGAAAAAGGUGAAAAAUUGUCGUGUUUACCCAUACAUGUUUCUAGACUUCAAAAGAAGAGAAAAAAUAUUUUCUUGUAACUUC
This 43968-nucleotide long non-coding RNA is filed under the name Populus tremula. Its description in RNAcentral is "long non-coding RNA (PTRE_LNC001004)". The record is from RNAcentral. Lineage: Eukaryota; Viridiplantae; Streptophyta; Magnoliopsida; Malpighiales; Salicaceae.